This 73-nucleotide transfer RNA is filed under the name Bos taurus (domestic cattle). It matches the Rfam family "tRNA". Rfam says of the family: Transfer RNA (tRNA) molecules are approximately 80 nucleotides in length. Their secondary structure includes four short double-helical elements and three loops (D, anti-codon, and T loops). Further hydrogen bonds mediate the characteristic L-shaped molecular structure. tRNAs have two regions of fundamental functional importance: the anti-codon, which is responsible for specific mRNA codon recognition, and the 3' end, to which the tRNAs corresponding amino acid is attached (by aminoacyl-tRNA synthetases). tRNAs cope with the degeneracy of the genetic code in two manners: having more than one tRNA (with a specific anti-codon) for a particular amino acid; and 'wobble' base-pairing, i.e. permitting non-standard base-pairing at the 3rd anti-codon position. The record is from Rfam by way of RNAcentral. Lineage: Eukaryota; Metazoa; Chordata; Mammalia; Artiodactyla; Bovidae. RNAcentral also lists the same sequence under 1 other name.
UACCUGGUGGUCCAGUGGCCAAUAUUCUGCACUCCCAACGCAGGGGGCCCAGGUUCCAUUCCUGGUCAGGGAA